Molecule: long non-coding RNA, 819 nt
Filed under: Ananas comosus (pineapple)
Lineage: Eukaryota; Viridiplantae; Streptophyta; Magnoliopsida; Poales; Bromeliaceae
Description: long non-coding RNA (ACOM_LNC033648)
Source: RNAcentral
CUCUCUCUCUCUUUAUUUUUAUCUCUCUCUUCAAACAUUUUUUUAUUUUUUCUCUCUCUCUUCAAAUUUUUUAUUUUUUUCCUCUCUCUUCAAUUUUUUUAUUCCUCUCUUCAUUUUUUUUUCUUUCUCUUCAAUUUUUUCUCUUUUCAUAUAAGAAGAAGAAAAUUUAUAAUUUUUUUAAGUCCAAUUUAAUUUUUUAUUUAUUACUAUAAAAAUUUAAAAUAUAUAAAUAAUUUUUAAAUAGUUCAGACUAUUUGUUUAAAUAUAAAUUUUAAUUUUAUAAUUUUGAAUAUUUAGAUAUAGAUUGUAUAUUAAAAAAUCAAAAAAAGAUUGACAGAGUUUUAGUUUAUUUUAUAUUUUACAAAAUUUAGUUGCGAGAAUCGCUUAAAACAUACUAAUUAAAUCUAUAGAGUUAAGCGAUACAUUCAGAUUUUUAAAGUUAAAGUAUCAUUAACUAACUCAAAUCUAAAAUAUAAAAAGUUGGAUAAUAAAAAUAAAAUUUUAAAAGAUUGAAUUUACACUUUUUGUCCUUAAAACUAUAAAAUGGAUGACACUUUAAUCCUCUAACUUUAAUGCGUUAUGAUUUAAACUAUAAGACAUGUGACACUUUGAUCCUCAAACUUUAAUUAGUUGCAAUUUCUGACCUGAAAUAUAAGCUACAUUCUUUUAAUUCUCAACAUUUAUUGCUGUUAUAAAUAUAAUUACUUAUUUGUAUAAUUUUUAUCUUUAUUUCUUUUAAUUCUUCUUAUAAUUUAUUUUUAUAUUUCUAUUAUAACAAUAAUUGCUUAUUUUUUAAUUAUUUUUUUAUAUAAUUCCUUG